Betta splendens (Siamese fighting fish) is the source of this 1741-nucleotide long non-coding RNA. RefSeq lists it as uncharacterized. The transcript has 3 exons. NCBI's taxonomy places the organism in Eukaryota, Metazoa, Chordata, Actinopteri, Anabantiformes, Osphronemidae. The record is from RefSeq and is a predicted model, not a curated record.
AGCGCUCGUGAGACCCUGAAAGGCGGCACUUUGCAAAAUGUCUAAACUUGACCCAGAGAUCCCUUAGCUACAAACAGAUAUCGUUGUGUUUUUUUAACCCACGACGACUGAAGGAACAAAAGGAUAGAUUUUGUUGCGGAUAUACUUUCUCACGCCACUUUUCAAGACGGACCUUUGACGAAAAGCUGAAUAUAGCGAGAAGAGGUAGCCAACCACCGUGCUAGCAGCCUCUCCUAGCGCUGAAAACGCUUGUCGGGGACGUCUGACUCCGGAGCACACAGUGGUACUGCUUGUUUUGUGCCUCUAUGCUGUGGAGACGCAUCACUGCCGUCUGAUUUCCUUUCUUUCCCGUUGCCUCCUGCUGAAGUUUGGCCAGUAGCAGCUGAGACCGAGUCUUUAAAGCACAGCCACCUUCCUCUUCUGCCAGAUUCCUGUGGUCAAUGUGAUGCAGGUGCACUGGCAAGCUGUCAAGCUGUGUGGAUUGUGUAAUACCAGGACGUUCAACUAGUCACUGGCAAAAUGGGCACGCCACACUGGACCAAUGAGCCAUCACAGCUAAACGCCCAACUGGAGCUUAGUGGCCAGUUUUCUUCCUCAUCCUUGUGAAACCAUCACUGUGAGUUUCACUAUAGCCGUUUGCCAGUUUCCAUGCAAAAUUGAUGAUGUGUUGUGGAAAAAGAUGAAUAUUCAGAGAUUUUAAUAUGCAUAAUGUCUUGGAUGCAAAGAAGAGCAGCAGCUAGAUGGACACUGAGUGGAAAUGAGGAUGAGUGCGUGAUGAACUAAGGGGGGGUUUCCAGUGGGGGUAUUUUAGGAAGCAGCUGCACAUCAGCGUCUCCAAAGGUAUGAGUAUAGUUUCACACAUGGUUCUGUUGGUUCCUUCCAAACUUGGUUAGGAUUCUAAUGUCAGUGGCACAUAUGAAUAUCUUUUACAUUGUAACAGCAACACAAUAAUAGUGUCCAUUUGUUCUCUGCUGCACCACUGUAAUACUUUAUAGUAUAAUCUGUUCAGCAGCACUACACCAAAGAGAGGUGAAACCAGCAAUUACGUACACUACACUAAACAAUGUGUUGCACAAAAAAACAAACAAGAAUGCAGCUUUUAGACGUAGGAGGUAUUUAUUUCCCUAACAGGCAGUUAGGUCCACAACUGAGCAAUAGCAGACACUCGACUUUAGAACAUUUACACAUUUAGCUGCUUAACAAAAGAUCCAUACUGUAUUAUGUCCUACAUAUAUAUGACUUCUCACUGCUUAAUUCUGUGUGAUGCUUUGUUUUAUAUACAGACUAAAACAAGAGGAGCUUGAGAGUAGAUGACAACUGUGUUCCACUGCUUUAAGGGAAACGAAGCAUCUUCACAUUCAAACCAUAUAAAUUCAGUUGCUCCUGACUAAAUAUAAAUAAUAAAGAGUAACGAGACCAGCCGGUGAGCUAAACGUAAACUAUGUUACAGCAAGACAGCUCAUCCUUGUUUCUGUCAGCUGCAUAUUUUAAAUAACAUUAAAUUCAGCUCAUUGUUUACUUAGUAUUUCAGACCAAUUUGGCAAAAUAAGAGCAUGUAUAUAAUAUAUGCCCACACAAGUACUUUAGUGGGCUUAAGCACAUCACAGUCAUUGUGUAAUAGCUGAAGGAAGGAAUAAAAUGUUCUGUUUCUGCAAAUGUAUCAUGCUACUGGACAAUCUGGCAGGAAAAGCGCCCCUGCAGGGGGCAAAGGUCACUAUUGGUUCCUGCCUGACUGCUGAAA